Molecule: long non-coding RNA, 191 nt
Organism: Bufo bufo (common toad)
Lineage: Eukaryota; Metazoa; Chordata; Amphibia; Anura; Bufonidae
Exons: 3
Source: RefSeq, a predicted model, not a curated record
GCUGGGAGGCCUGAAACCUGCAGAGCCGGAGGGACAGCGAUGAAGCCAGAACCCAGCAGUGGGUAUCAGAACGCCUGGACGUUGGCGUGUCAGGAGAGAAACAUCAGAGAGGAAACACCCUGAAGCCAUCGCUGGAAGAACACAAGCCGAUCACGUACACCCAAACAUGCUGAUUGUCUUCAAUGGGGCGA